CGCCCGUGAGGGAUGAAGGCCUCUGGGCUGUAACCUCUUUUAUCAAGGAAGAAGAUCUGACGGUACUUGAUGAAUAAGCCACGGCUAAUUCCGUGCCAGCAGCCGCGGUAAUACGGGAGUGGCAAGCGUUAUCCGGAAUUAUUGGGCGUAAAGCGUCCGCAGGCGGUCUUUUAAGUCUGUCGUCAAAGCGUGGAGCUUAACUCCAUUUCUGCGAUGGAAACUGGAAGACUAGAGUGUGGUAGGGGCAGAGGGAAUUCCCGGUGUAGCGGUGAAAUGCGUAGAUAUCGGGAAGAACACCAGUGGCGAAGGCGCUCUGCUGGGCCAUAACUGACGCUCAUGGACGAAAGCCAGGGGAGCGAAAGGGAUUAGAUACCCCUGUAGUCCUGGCCGUAAACGAUGAACACUAGGUGUCGGGGGAAUCGACCCCCUCGGUGUCGUAGCCAACGCGUUAAGUGUUCCGCCUGGGGAGUACGCACGCAAGUGUGAAACUCAAAGGAAUUGACGGG
RNAcentral lists this ribosomal RNA (506 nucleotides) under uncultured bacterium. RNAcentral describes it as "bacterial SSU rRNA". It matches the Rfam family "Bacterial small subunit ribosomal RNA", at positions 396 to 917 of the family's 1533-position model. The record is from RNAcentral.